GGUUGUGUUCAUGUUGGGUGCAGUGGUGGUUGUGUUUGUGAACGCUGUUGCUUUAUUAGUAGAGCUGAUCCUUACAGCAAGAACUGGCCAGCGUACCGUGGAUCUGAGAGUUAUUCUCCUUCCUACUGAGUGUGUCUUCGCCAUGUGCUGCCUCGCUUUACAAAUAUCUGCUUUCUGGAAGAAGAAUCGGAACAUAUUAAUACAAGACAUAAACAGGCUGCGACAGAUUUGUGGGUGUAAACAGCAACAGGGGGU
Long non-coding RNA from Clarias gariepinus (North African catfish), 255 nucleotides. RefSeq lists it as uncharacterized. The transcript is spliced from 4 exons. The record is from RefSeq and is a predicted model, not a curated record. NCBI's taxonomy places the organism in Eukaryota, Metazoa, Chordata, Actinopteri, Siluriformes, Clariidae.